This 313-nucleotide ribosomal RNA is filed under the name uncultured Glomeromycotina. RNAcentral describes it as "LSU rRNA". The record is from RNAcentral. Lineage: Eukaryota; Fungi; Glomeromycota.
UUGAAAGGGAAACGAUUGAAGUCAGCCAUGCCGGUGGGAACCAACUUAGGGGAAACUCUAGGUGCACUUCUUCGCUUGGCAGGUUAACGUCGAUCUUGAAUGCCAUAAAAUAAUUGGGGGAAGGUAGCUCCUUCGGGAGUGUUAUAGCCCUUGAUAGAUGUGAUGUUUGGGGUCGAGGAUUGCAACGGAUACCUUUUGGGGCUAGCCGCCUGAUCUCUAAUCGGUGUUGGGUUACGGAUAGCAUGCUGACCGUGAAUCUAAUUACUGGUUAAAAGGUUAGAGCGUGCAUAAAUUCGUUAAGGAUGUUGACGUA